This 470-nucleotide long non-coding RNA is filed under the name Brachypodium distachyon (stiff brome). RNAcentral's name for it is "long non-coding RNA (BDIS_LNC005313)". The record is from RNAcentral. Lineage: Eukaryota; Viridiplantae; Streptophyta; Magnoliopsida; Poales; Poaceae.
AGUUAACCAUUUAAUCACUCCCAAUAUCAAAAGAGAAAAGUAUUUUCUUCGUCCCUCAACUUGUCAGAAAGUUCGCUUUUCGUCCCUCAAAAAAAUUUCGUACUUUUUUCGUCUCUCAAUUUUCAAAACCGGACACUUUUAGUCCCUCAGUCCAUCCAAAGUGGUUUUCCUAGCCAUGUGUCUGGUUUUCGUAUAGUUUUUUCACUUAUUUUUUUUCCAAUCAAGAUAUAGAUGAUGUAGAUGGAGGAGAAGUACAACCAGUGCCGACGACGGGCAAUUUCAACAGCUUCGGCGGUCACGGGAUUAAGUGCAAACCGGACACGUGGCUAGACAAACCGCUUCGAAUAGCUUUAAGGACUAAAAGUGUCCGGUUUUGAAAGUUGAGGGAUGAAAAAAAUACGAAUUAUUUUUAAAGGGACGAGAAAUGAAUUUUCCGACAAGUUGAGGGACUAAAAAAGUACUUUUCCCAU